CGACGGCCCCUCACGUGGUGUCAUCUCGCUGAACUCCCCCAGGACCGGAAGGUAGCAAGGGUAGGUGGGCUCUGGCAGGUGCGUGAGGGGUCUUCACUUU
This 100-nucleotide signal recognition particle RNA is filed under the name Micrococcus luteus NCTC 2665. Its description in RNAcentral is "Bacterial signal recognition particle RNA". It matches the Rfam family "Bacterial small signal recognition particle RNA". From Rfam's summary of the family: The signal recognition particle (SRP) is a universally conserved ribonucleoprotein involved in the co-translational targeting of proteins to membranes. Lineage: Bacteria; Bacillati; Actinomycetota; Actinomycetes; Micrococcales; Micrococcaceae. RNAcentral also lists the same sequence under 1 other name. The record is from RNAcentral.